This 238-nucleotide ribosomal RNA is filed under the name uncultured bacterium. Its description in RNAcentral is "partial 16S ribosomal RNA". It matches the Rfam family "Bacterial small subunit ribosomal RNA", at positions 539 to 776 of the family's 1533-position model. The record is from RNAcentral.
CGUUGUCCGGAUUUAUUGGGUUUAAAGGGUGCGUAGGCGGCUUUGUAAGUCAGUGGUGAAAUAUGGCAGCUCAACUGUCAGGGUGCCAUUGAUACUGCAGAGCUUGAGUACAGAUGAGGUAGGCGGAAUUGACGGUGUAGCGGUGAAAUGCUUAGAUAUCGUCAAGAACACCGAUAGCGAAGGCAGCUUACUGGGCUGUAACUGACGCUGAGGCACGAAAGUGUGGGGAUCAAACAGG